This is a long non-coding RNA of Eriocheir sinensis (Chinese mitten crab), 2370 nucleotides long. RefSeq lists it as uncharacterized. The transcript is spliced from 3 exons. The record is from RefSeq and is a predicted model, not a curated record. NCBI's taxonomy places the organism in Eukaryota, Metazoa, Arthropoda, Malacostraca, Decapoda, Varunidae.
UCCUCUUCUUUGACUCCCAACACAGAACUACUUGCCUCUUCACUUUCCAAUGCAGAACUAUCCUCUUAUCUAACAGCCAAUUAUAUAAUCAAAUAGAUACAAAAAAUAUCAUCGUCAGAUAUUAUAAUUGUGAUUUAUAAUCGCCGAACGCUGUGGUAGCGAGAGUUCCCUCUUUUCCCAAAGUUUUAGAUUUAGAAGUAGCCACCCGGAGCCCCGCACCUCUGACUGGUCAACAGAAAGCAUGGUAACUGGUGAUAAAUAGGAUCGCUUUCAUGUCGCUUAUCAUGUCGUCAGGGGCUGCCAGAGUUGUGUUUUGAGACGUUCCGUCCUCAUCGCAAAUGGCUACUUUAUCGCCUGCAUGGAAAAUAUUCAAGAUAAUAAUUGGAGUAAUUCCUAAAAUCUAUUGAUAAAUACUUUUUUUCAAAAAAUGCUGCACGAGUGAAAGGAGUCAACUGACAGCUCGAUCCCGUCACCCCUCGGAACAUGGAGUGCAGUAAACUGUCUGGCUGCAUAUCUGUGCCUGACCUGCAGAUAGGUCUCGCCUACAGCCUUGAUCAGUAACACAAGAACGGAUUACUGUCUAACAUGUGUUGUGCCAGGCUGGAGAAGACAGCCCUCUCCUGGAACUCAGACAGUACCGUACAAGUGUUACAAUGUUGUGCCAAGCAUGUGUUGACAACUUUGCAUAUGCAGUCGCUGCCGAGCCCUACAAAAAGAUGGCCGACUGACAUUUCGCUGGCAUCAGCCCGAGCGCCUCACGGCCUCUCCACCCUUUAUACCUCCAUGCCUCGGAAGGUCAAAGCUGAAAGGAUAAUGACCUGAGGAUUAACGCAGAAGAAGGAGGAGGAAGGAGGUUGGGUAGAGCAGCGGCAACAGGUGGAGGAAAAAGAUGGUUACUGAAAGCAGCCUAGAGGUGACUAUUUUUAAGUGUGCUACCAAUUAUAAGUGUGACAGGCAACAUGCCUAGAAAAUAUAUAAGAAAAAACAGCAAAGACCCAGAAACAAAAGCGAAGAUUAAAAGAUGCAAUACAAGGUGUUAGAAACAAACUAUACACUGUAAGUAUCCUGCUAAGAUGUUCAAAGUCAGUAAAACAACCCUCUUAAGACAUCUGAAAAACAAUGUGAGUGAUGACAACUGAGGGUAGUGAAUCUGAUAAGCCAAAAUGUGGAAAUCCAUUCAACCUCCCAAAAGAGUGUGAAGAGCAACUUGCAGUGUCUAACAGUAAUGACAAAAUGGAGCUUUGGGCUUGCUCCUAGUGAGUUAUGUGAUUAUGUGAAACAGUUUGUGACAGAAAAGAAGAAAGAAGAAUCUUAAGUUGGUGAUUACAUAAGAAAAUAUUGCAGAUUCAAAGACAAAAGGCCUGGUGAAGAUUGGGUCUACUAUUUCUUGAAAAGAUUUUUUUGUGUGUGUGAAAAAGGCAUCAACACUUGAAAAGGGCUAAAAAGAGUGCAGUUAGUGAUCCUGAAGUCACUUACAGUUUCUACAGUUAAGUUGAAAAUGAAUUCAAGAGACUGGGAAUUUCAAACAUGCCUGAGUGUAUAUGGAAUGCAGAUGAUUUUUUUUUUUUUUUUUUUUUUACUGUGAGAUCCAAGUCAUGUCAUAACCAAAUUACAUUUGUUGUUAACCUCUGGAUAUGACAAGCUAAUAUUUUCGAAGGAAAUUAAUGAUUUUUAUAUUGGUCCAUAAUCACCCCAGGCUGGUCAACAAUCACCCCAGAGUAUUGUCUAAAUCACCCCAAUUUUUUGUACAAUGUGGUCCACACUUUUUUGGGAUGUAUCUUUAUAAGUUACAGUGGAAAUUAGUUUUAACUCCAGUAUUACAUAGGCAAUGACUCACUUAUAUUUGCAUUGAAUAGUCUUUUUUUUUUGUGUUUCAAUAAAUAUGGGAACUAAAUCAAAGUCUGUCAAAACCUGCUCUGAAUCACCCCGGUCGACCAAUAUCUCAAAAUCUAAAAAUGGUACAACAAAUGAGGCAUGGAUUCCUAUCUUUUAGGGCAUGGCAAACCAAAUAUGACAAGAUAUUUGAUCUUUUGGCAUGGUCAAUCACAUCUUUUUUACUUUUUUGGACAAAUGAUAUCACAUUUUCUGAGAGCCUGGAAUCUCAGCUUUUUAAUGAGAUAUGAUGGCCAUCUGAGAAGCGUAGCUGUUACAAGUUAUCCCACAUAAUGUAAACUAAGGUUACGAAAAUUAAGCGUAUAAACCAAAGCAGAACAGUAAGAUAUCUCAAAAUUUUAAAAAAAUUAUAUAACAACAAAUGAGGCAUGGAUUUCAAUGUUUUAGGGCAUGGCAAACCUAAAUAUGACAUUGGCACUGCUAUAUAAGGUCAAUCACAUUUUUUUACUAUUUCGCACAAAUGAUAUCAUAUUUCUC